Molecule: ribosomal RNA, 253 nt
Filed under: uncultured bacterium
Lineage: Bacteria
Description: partial 16S ribosomal RNA
Rfam family: Bacterial small subunit ribosomal RNA
Source: RNAcentral
GACAGAGGGUGCAAACGUUGUUCGGAAUUACUGGGCGUAAAGCGCGCGUAGGCAGCAGCGUGUGUCGGGCGUGAAAUCCCAUGGCUCAACCUCGGGCCUGCAGUCGAUACGGGCAGACUAGAGUUCGGUAGGGGAGACUGGAAUUCCUGGUGUAGCGGUGAAAUGUGCAGAUAUCAGGAGGAACACCGGUGGCGAAGGCGGGUCUCUGGGCCGAAACUGACGCUGAGGAGCGAAAGCGUGGGGAGCAAACAGG